Toxorhynchites rutilus septentrionalis is the source of this 1189-nucleotide long non-coding RNA. RefSeq lists it as uncharacterized. The transcript is spliced from 3 exons. Lineage: Eukaryota; Metazoa; Arthropoda; Insecta; Diptera; Culicidae. The record is from RefSeq and is a predicted model, not a curated record.
GAGAACCCCUCGUACUAUUUCUUCAGCUCAGAAUCAACAGCGGUGUGUGCUUCUGAGUGUCUUUCUCUGUGUAGAAUGAGAUGCAUGGCAAUGCGAGUGCCAUUCCCAUUUUCGAUUUGGGCGGCUGACCAUAUUGAGUACCAGGUGUAACUCGACGGCUCAAUUUAGCCAGGACGCAGAGCACCAACACAUGCCUCGUAGACUUUUUUUUCAUUUUCUGUUUUUUUCCCCCAAGUGGAAAGAGUCUUUCGGCGGGUUUUCUUGUUCUUGGAAACCUAAAACCGGCCAGCGACUCGACUUAAACUGCGCUCGGGAGAUGAAAAGACAAUUGCCCGCGAAUGUUUGAAAGCGGGACAAAUCCAAGCACAGAAGGGACUUCGGAACGACUACGGAAUUGCUAACAUCGUUAACAAUUGCGUAGUUCCGGUUCCAAUGAAUAUCUGUCUGAUCUGAGGAUCGAAAAGUGUGGUCGCCCAUUCCGACUUUGUCCGUGGAAGAAGGCGGAAGCGGUUAGUGAUUUUGUACCGCGUGUUACCCGUGUUGAAGUGAGAUUAGAAAACUAGUAGUGCGAAUUAAUUGAUACGCUGAAGAAGUUAGAUACUCUCCAGUGCACCAGCAAACCUAAUUGGAGAAAAAGCCGCUUACUGACCCCACGUGCGAGGUCUGGAAGUUACCAUCAUACUCGUCAAUUCUGGUGGCCGCGCGGUGCGCUUACGCAAGACGGCACUCGCGCCAAAAGGGGAAACAGCACACAGUACGCAGCACGGAGCCAUCACUCGUCCGUGUGCGUACUCGAGAUUCAUUGUCCCGUUCAACGUCUGCAGCGAACGACGGUAAAGCAGAACCACGUAAAACCUAGGUCGUGAGUACAAAUCUAUUUUAUUUCCGUAACUAAUACAUGCGCAUGUAGGGAAUAAAUAGAGACAGAAGAACCACACAACUAAUAAAUGCCACACAACAAUGCCACACUAGAUUUUGUACAGUGUUCUUACCGACAGUGAGCGCAAGCCCGUCGGCAGAAAGAAAAGCCUGAAUGAGAUGAGGCGAUAGAGUAGUUAGGAAACGUGCCGUUCAGAGAAUCGAUGGGUCAGAGGAUCGAAACCCAAAUUACCCAAUAAAAUGUUUAUAUAGAUGUUUAAGGAAAAUAAUGUUCGUAAUUUAUGCUGUCUCGAAUAUAUCUAAAAUAAAU